CCCGACCAUGCGUAUCUGUAUUUUUAGAAGACUAAUAAUCCUUUCAUCUUUUGGUUCCCUCGUAUCAUGUGAAUUAACAUUUACAAAUAUUCAAUGUGCUUUAGCUAUAAAGUCCUAUCACUAGAUGACUAAGAAUAUAUACGUGGAUGUAAAGGUAAACUACAUUUAGGGGUUGGACUAAUAGUAAUGGUAGUAGUGCUGCUUGUAUAAAAGGCAAUGGUUGGCACUGCUAAACUAUUACCUAUUACGUAUUAUAGAAAAUUAAAUAAAUUUGAAUUUUAGAAUUUCACAAACGGAUUUUAAAAUUAUUUUUAUGGAAGGAAGCCAGGAAGGGGUGUACGCAAAAUUAUCCUUAGUUUCUUUUUACUUAUCUUGCACCACAAUAAUAAUUAAUUAUAUUGAAGAGAAAAACAAAUAUGAGCCCAAAAUAUUAGAUAUCUUCAUUAUGAUCUAAUAGCCCUAGAUGUAGGAGAAACGAAAUUAGUGCAUGUAAAAUAAAACGAUGUACAUUUACUGAAUUUGGACAACUUGCAUCCAUGGAAUUCUGAAUAAUUUGGUUUCUAAAUUAAACUGUAAGAGACUCGGAUUGAAUUUGAAACCCAAGCAUUAAAACUGAAUUGCAAAUAUGUUGUGGAUCUUGAAAUCAUAAAUUCUAAUUUCCAGUUUGAAUUGAAGUAGACCAAUAUGGAUCUUAUUAAAGGAGAAUAUAUAAUUAUAUCAUCAAACAAAUCCAAACCAAAAGCAAUAAAUAAAGUAAACAAGAAAACUCAAAGUACAUACACACAUAAUUUUGCAAGGAAUGUAAAUCUAGAGAGAAAGGAAACCUUCCUUGAUAAAAAGAGCAAACAUGAGAACAAAGAGGCCAAGGGUGAUGCAUUGUGUUGGAGACACCACUGUUUGUUGGUAUGCACAGAGUGUUAGUGUUGCACCCACCAAUCCAAUCAACAACGAACUCCAAUUCUUAUUCAUUUUUAGAUCAAACAAUGAAUACCUAUGAGCUAUGGCCUAUGGAUGGACGGACACUCUUCUUAAUUUUGAGUCUGGUUAUGUUUAUGGUCGCCGUCGGAGCUAGCUAAUCAAUCACAGCUAGCAGUGAGGUGAGGUCAACUCUUGGAGGGGAUUAUUU
Molecule: long non-coding RNA, 1126 nt
Filed under: Panax ginseng (ginseng)
Lineage: Eukaryota; Viridiplantae; Streptophyta; Magnoliopsida; Apiales; Araliaceae
Description: long non-coding RNA (PGIN_LNC003247)
Source: RNAcentral